CCUGGCGGGGAGGGAUCGGGCGGGCGGUCUGUGGGGACCCUGGGCUGGGCUCUCUCGUGUGGGGCCGGCUCCCUGGGUCUGCUUCAGCUCCGCCGCCUGAGAGCCGGUGCCGGGGAAGCCGCGCUCCGUAGCCGAGGCUGUGGCGGGGAGGCGCGGGGAGGCUGGCGGAAACGGGUGCCUCCGUCUGAGGAGCGUUUCGGGUAGAAAUGGCUGCUCUCUGCCGUGUCGGGCUGCCGGCACGGAACUUCGGCUACGCUGGGCUGGGCACCGGCUGUGAGAUGGUUUGGCAUGCUGACCGAGAAACACCAGUUUACACUAUGAUCAAAUGUUAACACAGACAUUGAUUCCUACCAAAAUGGAAAAAAAAAAGGUAUCGAUAUAUGUAAUUUCAAAGUGAUAUUUAAAAAAUGUUCUGGAUUCCAUCCCAGAGUCUCAAAUAUCUUCAGAAAAGCUUUAGUAAUCCAAGCAGAUUGCAGAACUUUAAAAAAAACAACCAAACAACAACAAAAAAUCCUCUAUUUGGAUAUUCUGAAAAUUUUUUCCUUGUUCCAUUUAUGUUAAUUAAAAAGAUGUAACCAAGAGGAUCACUUGCAACAGACUGCAAUGUCAAAAAUAAUUGUUUCUUUGGAGCCUUGGUUGUCUUUUGGAUCCACGUCCAGGGAUCUUCAAUCUCUGCAGCUGAUUCCAGGGCUACCAGCAACACAAUAUGGAAUUUCAUUCUCUUUACACAGAAAACGUGUUCUGAUCCCCUUGGCUAACUUGCGUAUCGAAGGAAAACUGCUAAAAUCCUUCAUGCUAAAAACUGUGGAUAUUUAUGGGAACAAUUUUCACAUCCACCUUGCUUUUUUAUUCUGGAUAAAACACAGCAGCUAAUUCCAUGCAUUACUGGGAACCUCUUAAUAAAAAUUUACAGAGUCAAUAUAUAUCCAAAAUUACUGCCUCCGAAGUUGAACUGUAAGAGGUGUAUCAGGUAUGAAUCAAAGCCCAAAUGUCCUGACUUACCUGCUACAGCCAGAAAGUUGAUAUCUUUAGAAGAAUUGGCGAUGGGCAUUAGCCAGGAGCAUUUCUGGCAGCCUGUUACAGGGGGAUAAGAUAUUACAACUGCUCUGAAAUUACCGAGUGACUCUUGUAUUUCAGAAUGUUCAGAACUUUGUUUUAAAUAUAGCUUGUGAUAUCAGUCAGUGAGUCUUUAUUUCUGGACUAAUCAUUGCUUAGGGAGGAAUAUAUAUUGAUCAAAUAGUGGUAAAUUGAAAUCUUCCCUCCUUGAAAUGAAGGCUUGGAGCAAAGGAAAGACUCCUGUUUAGUUUUACUUCUUAGUCAAAACUUGACAAGGUGCAUUUCCAAGUUAAAAUGUGUUCUAGUAUAUUCAUAGGUGAUUUAAUGUAAAAUCACUGGAAGUUGCCCCCUCCUAGGGGGUUUUAAAUGUGCCAGUAGCAGUUCAUUGUGGGUUUGUUCAUUGUUUAUUAUAAUAAGAUGUACAUUACUUCAUGCUCA
Harpia harpyja (harpy eagle) is the source of this 1494-nucleotide long non-coding RNA. RefSeq lists it as uncharacterized. The record is from RefSeq and is a predicted model, not a curated record. Lineage: Eukaryota; Metazoa; Chordata; Aves; Accipitriformes; Accipitridae. The transcript has 2 exons.